ACCAUCCAAGAUGAUGAAGUGGUAGCUUACAUUCUGAAUGGCCUUGAUAUUGAUUACAACCAUUUUGUCUCGUCCAUCCUCAGCAGGGCAGAUCCCAUCUCCAUCGACGAUCUGUACUCCCAGAUGAUGUCCUAUGACU
Small nucleolar RNA from Panicum virgatum (switchgrass), 139 nucleotides. RefSeq annotates it as small nucleolar RNA Z247. Lineage: Eukaryota; Viridiplantae; Streptophyta; Magnoliopsida; Poales; Poaceae. The transcript has a single exon. The record is from RefSeq and is a predicted model, not a curated record.